Long non-coding RNA from Sapajus apella (tufted capuchin), 716 nucleotides. RefSeq lists it as uncharacterized. The record is from RefSeq and is a predicted model, not a curated record. Lineage: Eukaryota; Metazoa; Chordata; Mammalia; Primates; Cebidae. The transcript has 4 exons.
GCCGGGGAGAUUCAAACAUAAACCAUUUAGUCUCCGGGAUGGAGAGAGAUGGGAGUGGGGCAUGGCGCUGGAAAAUUAUUGCCCUUAAAGCUACGCCCCUCAUGGAUCCAGAAAGAGAACACAUUCCUUCAAGACCACAGGGGCAAAUACAUAGGAUGGAUGAGGGCUGGUGUGAGAGGAAGCUGAGUUGGGUACCAAGACAUUCAUUCUCUCCAGGCGGUUACAAGGACCCUAACAUGCUAUUAACGAAGACCAAAUGAAUUUUCUUAGCUGUUCUUGGAAGGCACUCAAAUAUACCAGUCUAGAGUGUCAGUUUGGAAACCAGCUCACCUCCAUCAUUUCCAGUCGUUUGACACUAAUGGCUCCAGAGGCUUUUGAGUUUGUAUGGCACUUCACAGCAGGACUCUCCCUAAGGUAAGAUGCUUAUGUCACUUAACAUUUAACCCCUUUAACUUCUCUCAUAAUGAUUCUUUGUUUACCAAGAUGUAUUCCAAUUUUAUUCUGCCUGAAGAGUAAACAUUGCUUGUGUGUAAUUACAGGCUUCUGGCAUGUGCAACAGGUUAUUCUAAGUUAGUCCCAAUUAUGUUUUUGCUUCCUCAUACCUAUAUCUGUGUAGGGCAGAAUAUUUCUUGGUUCACUAUACCUUGGGUUUUCUGAUCUGGAAAAUUACGAUUUUGUUUGAGAGCUGAUAGUUAUGUUACUGUAAAUUAAUACAU